GGAAGUUGUAUCAAACUUGGUCAUUUAGAGGAAGUAAAAGUCGUAACAAGGUUUCCGUAGGUGAACCUGCGGAAGGAUCAUUACAAGUGAGGCUACCGAACGUUGGAAACAGCGGUUAGGAGCUUACACCCACCCGUGUUUACAUACUAUUGUUGCUUUGGCGGGCCGUGGCCUCCACUGCGGGCUCUGCUCGUGUGUGCCCGCCAGAGGACCAAACUCUGAAUGUUAGUGAUGUCUGAGUACUAUCUAAUAGUUAAAACUUUCAACAACGGAUCUCUUGGUUCUGGCAUCGAUGAAGAACGCAGCGAAAUGCGAUAAGUAAUGUGAAUUGCAGAAUUCAGUGAAUCAUCGAAUCUUUGAACGCACAUUGCGCCCUGUGGUAUUCCGCAGGGCAUGCCUGUUCGAGCGUCAUUUAACCACUCACGCCUAGCGUGGUAUUGGGGCACGCGGUCUCGCGGCCCUCAAAAUUAGUGGCGGCGCCGGUGGGCUCUAAGCGUAGUACAUACUCCCGCUAUAGAGUUCCCCCGGUGGCUCGCCAGAACCCCCAAUUUUUUACAGGUUGACCUCGGAUCAGGUAGGGAUACCCGCUGAACUUAAGCAUAUCAAUAAGCGGAGGAAAAGAAACCAACAGGGAUUACCUCAGUAACGGCGAGUGAAGCGGUAACAGCUCAAAUUUGAAAGCUGCCAACAGGGCC
RNAcentral lists this ribosomal RNA (695 nucleotides) under uncultured Phialocephala. RNAcentral describes it as "eukaryotic LSU rRNA". The stretch from base 258 to 411 matches the Rfam family "5.8S ribosomal RNA". Lineage: Eukaryota; Fungi; Ascomycota; Leotiomycetes; Helotiales. The record is from RNAcentral.